RNAcentral lists this long non-coding RNA (31075 nucleotides) under Malus domestica (apple). RNAcentral describes it as "long non-coding RNA (MDOM_LNC005218)". The record is from RNAcentral. Lineage: Eukaryota; Viridiplantae; Streptophyta; Magnoliopsida; Rosales; Rosaceae.
UUUCUAACAUAUGCUUAUCAAAAGCCUUCUCGUUCCAUCAAACAAUACGAAAAUUUUCAAUUGAAUGAAAGACAUACUAUUUUAUAUAUCACAGUACUUCAUGGAUCAUCAUCAUCACAUAUCCUUAAUUCAAAGGUAAUAAAUGAGCAUCUAGUUUUAUUUUAAUUUUAUUUUAUAUAGGGACUACAGAAGCAAGCACCCUCUGUAAAUUAAACUCUAAAACUUCUCAAGUAUCUUGAAAGGUGCCAAAAGCCAUCAGCCAACUCCAGUUGAUGCAUAACCUCCUACAUUUACAAAAACAGCGUCGCCGUUAAUUUAUUGACUUCUUCCCAGGACACAUACCAAUUUGCGAAAGUGGUUUGACUGAUGCUAUAAUUAGUCGAGUAAAGUACAGUCUUUUCAAUUAAGCAGAUGCAAAACACUUAGUUGAUGCACUACAAAUAUGAUUUUUACCUUUAAUUAACGCGCUUCAAAAUCAGAACUGGACUUGUAGUUUGCUGAAGCAACAGUUUCAAGUUGCUGAUUCCCACUUAUACCAGCCUCCACCGUCCUCCUUCCAACAAAAAAUGCUGGCUUUGUUGGUGAUGCUAAUGGAAAGCUUUCAUUUGUCAACAUAGAUAUGACAUCUGACAUGGUAGGGCGAUCUGCUGCAUUUUCUUCUACGCAAAGCAGACCGACAUGGAUGCAUCUUAACAGUUGCUCUUUAAUAAACGAAUUUCCUAAUGUUGGAUCCGUUAAUUCUAGCCCUGCACCUUUUUUCCAUAACUCCCAUGCCUGAAGAACAAGGAUUGCAUUUCAUUCUAAAGAAGAAAAAUAUGAUUAUAAAUUUUAAGAGAGAGAUUUGUUUGUCAUACAUAUCCUACUAAAUUGAGUGCGCGAUCGUCAUUGUAAAAGCUGUUGUUUUUCCUUCCACUUAUGAUUUCAAGCAUCAAUACCCCGAAACUGUAGACAUCAGACUUUACAGAAAUAAUUCCCCCCACGGACUCUGGAGGCAUGUAACCACUACACCAAAUGAAAAAGAAAAAUAGUCAGUAUACUUAUCUGGAAAAAUGCGUGUUUAGCAGUCAAAAGGGGAGGACCACGUCAAUAUGAUGCAGAAAUACUUACAGUGUCCCCGCAACCUUUCUAGUGUUUGCUUCCAAUUCAUUUUGGGUGAAAAUCCUUGCCAUACCAAAAUCUGAAAUUUUUGGGUUCAUGUUUUCAUCAAGUAGUAUGUUACUAGCUUUUACAUCUCUAUGAAUUACUUUCUUUCUUGAGUAUUUGUGCAGAUAAAGCAACCCUUGAGCAAUUCCUUCGAGAAUGCUAAAACGCUUCUUCCAAUCUAGUAGUAGACCUCUGAUUGGAUCUGUCCAAUAUGUUGAGUUAAGUAGGACUAAUAUUAAUUAAUAGUAGUACUCUAUGAACUUUGACAGUAAAAUAAAAAUCAGAUAGUAAAUUUAACAAAUGAAAUCAAGUAUCUUGGUUCCUCACCAAAUAAAAAGUGGUCCAAACUUUUGUUCUGCAGAUACUCAUAUAUCAACAUCAUUUCUUCACCAUGAAUGCAAAAUCCGAAAAGGUGAACCAGGUUUGUAUGUUGGAGUUCAUAUAUAAGUAUCAGUUCAUUCUUGAAUUCUGAUGUUCCUUGCCCUGAACAUUUCGAAAGCCUCUUCACAGCUAUUUCUUGUCCCGUUGCCAAUUUCCCCUGAAUUGAUAAUCCAUAUCAUGCUUUUGCUGUCAUUUUUAGGCAAUUGAAGCUAAUUCCAUUUUUUUUUUCUUACAGCUUUUGAAUUAGAAGCAGAAAUUUUUGUUUUUUCAAAAUGUUACCUUAUAAACCGGUCCAAACCCUCCUUGUCCUAGCUUGUUUUCUUCAGCAAAGUUUCUUGUGGCAGCCACGAUGGAUGAAUAGCUAAAAACGCUAAAAUCAUGAUGUCGCUUAGAUUCAUGAAGAUAAGCAUUUCGUUCUCAAGCGUUGUCCGGUUCUCACCUAUACAGAUCAAUUAUAAGAAAUUAAAGUUUCAAUGGAGACAACAAUUGUCAAAGAUGUGAUUAAUAAUCCUGUAUUACUGGUGCACAUGAUUUAAAGAAAUAUACCAGCUGAUGCAAGGGCUGAUCUUCUUCGUCGGAGUAGAUAGUACGCGGUGCAAAGCACUAGAGCAGCAGCUAUAGAAAUGCCAAUCCAAACCCAUUUAUCUGCUGCAUCAUAAACAAUUAGCUAGCAACAUAUGCAAUCAGUGUAACACACACGGACAUGUACGCAUUAAUUGUCUUCAAUUUUUGGAUGAACUAGGUCUUGCAGGUUUCUUCCGGAAAACGGAAAAAUUCGAGACAGAGAGCAGAACUUAAGACAACAAUAACAAAGAUAGAGGUACCUAAUAAUACUGAUUCCACGCGUGUCACAGAUUUCCGGCUCAAAUCGGGUUUGCAGCCUCGGUAUAUAUCCUUCGGAUCAAGAAAAGAAAACCCUUUUGGGCAUUCGCAGGUUGGCCUUUUAUCUGGUUUGAGCAUACAGGUACUGUUGUAACCGCAAACACCAACGCCCAGUCGUAGGCAAAUAUCAUCCGGCAUAUACACCAGAGGACUAAUCCAACUUGCAUUUCCCGUGAAGUUUUUCUGGUGAGAAUAUAAAGCGAAAAUCCCAUCAAAAUCAAGAGUUGCCCUUAUGUAGUUGUCCCUCACCGACACUCCCUCUGUCCCCUUAAGAGGGACUCUUCCAUCAUUUUCUCUUAGAACAAACAUGUCCCCUGAGCUGCUGAACACCAAUCGUUUGCCUUGACUACCUGGCACGUUCCCUGACGUGGUCUUCGUGGAGAAGUAAGGGAUGUUGGCAUUAUCUGUUGUGACGGAAAUGAGCACGAGGUUUCCAUCACCUUGCAAGCUCAGCCGGAACCGCCCUUUUGUGUAGUUAGUCUCCGAUUGUCUACACGAAAGCGUCCCGUUUCUCUCAAUUGUCUGUCCAGGCAAAACGGUGUCUGUAGGAUUGCUGAAGGUCUCCCACAAGCUCCCCGAGUUUUGGUGUUGAAGGACGAAGUUUCCGGUGUCAUUCAUGACCCCGUUCGCAACAGUCCCCAAGGUUAUUUCGGAUUUCCAUAUCUCUCCACCCUGAGGAUUGUUAAGAACUAGUCCACUGUUGGCAGUCAAGUUCAGAACUGAUCCCCUAGGUGCAACCAUGGGGUUGUUACCGUCAUAUGCAUACCAAAACUACGGUUUUGUCUGGGAUUUUCGCAUACCAUAUCGAAAGCAAGAAACGAUCAUUGUUUCCGAGGGGCGAAAAUCCAAACGCGAAAUCACCGGAAGGAGAAAGCCAUGAUGAGGAGUCGCCUGUAGUUGCAGUUAGAGAACUCCCAACUGCUACUCUUCCAUUAUUUUGGGAAAUCACAGAAAUUGGUAGCAAAAACAAAGAGGAGAACAAAAGCAUCUCUACAGAAAGAGCCACUGCCAUUGCAAAAGCACCAAUUUUUCAACUUGGCUUGAUUGAUUAGCUAUAUUUCUUAGUAAAGCAUUGGUCCUUGUUAUAUCUUUAAGUAAAUGCGUGUGCACCAUGUGCCUGUCAUUUUCUAAGUUUUUGCCUGGAAUUAAAGGCGUCUACACCAUUUUUUGAAGUCACACACAACAAUAUCUCCGGGCCUACAGAAUAAAUUCUCCGAACCUACACAUAUCACAAGAAUUUCACUUUGAAAAAAAAAAUAUAAUGAAUAGUUCUAUAUAUAAUGACACCGAGACUUUUUGUGAUUGAAUUUAUUCUCUCUCAACUCCUUUGUAAUGUUGCAAGUUGGAGCAAUAUUGACGUAAUUAGCAAUGGUCCGCUGACUUGUCUCUCUCAAAUCUCUUAUCAUCCUACUCUCAUCCCUCGUCUGUUUUAUGAUUCUACUUACUUAAGCACUUAUAAAUGUUCCAAAUCAGCAAAGGACUUGUAACUUAAAUAAUUAAUAAUAUUUAUCACUACACUCGAGAUUCUAGGUUCCAAAAUAUAAUAUAUAAUAUAUAUGAAUGUUUCCGAACCAAAAGGACAAGUAAAUACGAGCAUGACUCACGCUGCAUGGGUCGGCCAUUCAAGUCCACCAGUCAAAAUUCAACAAUGGGGCCCACAAAGAAAAUUUGAAAAAGUACAUGCAGAUUGGGGACGGAUACAAAGAAAAUCUGAAAACAGACCUCCAGAACCAAACAAAGACGACUAAGCCUUUAAGUCAAGUGACAAGAGACUUAUAUCUUCACAAAAACAAAGACGACUAAGUCUCAAUUUCUGUAUUCACAAAAAAAAAAGUACUAACUGAAGUUUUUAAUGUAUGAUUACGUCGUUGGGGUAAAACACCCGAUGCCGAGUUGAGAUAAUCACAGGGUUGGGGAAUCAAGAACCUCUUCGAAUGUCACAAUCUAGCGCAAACGGAUGUAGAGACUCAAACCACUUAUUUUAAAUCAUACGGCCUUCAUUAGCCUAUCCUAUUGACCCACAUGGUCCAAAUCUGUCUCUCCCCUCUCUUGAACGGUUUGGAUAUCUCGAUUUGUCGAUUUUGGAUUGCGAGAUUCAAAGAGAAUCUGAUUUCAUGUUUGAGGUGAGGUUUGACGACCAUUUGAAGCCCGUUGAGGCGUGGCCCAUCUCAUCAGGUCGGGUCAGCCAUUUCGUACCAGGUUGGAUCCCAGGUCAGGCCAACCAUUUCAUUAGCCUAAGAUGGACCUGACAGACGAGGCGCUUGGAUAUUGCCUACCGCGACCAAAUGGACCCAUGGACUCAUUAGAUGAUGAGUCUGGACCCUGGUGUGUGUAAAGCCCACCUCAGCUCGAUCCAUAUUCGAUCGAUACUACAAAGAAGGUGGAUAUGAGGUAAAGGUAGAGUAAGCUCCAAGUCAUGUGGAGGUCAGUCGAGAUUGAACACACGUUCAUAGAAUCAUAGUAUCAAAUUCAAGUCCAAAUUUUAACACUACGAAACCGAAAAGCAUUGUUUCAGUCCAACAACCCAAACUUCCUUAAAAAAACUAAGACAAAAACGACGACACUAGGAAACGGAAAAACAUGCAACUCAGAAAACCAUUACUCUAGUCCAAAUGAGGUUCCUCAAUGCCUCAAGCUUUUAUAAAACACCAUAGCCUGAACCUUUUCCUUUGCGCCUUCUUUGCUUCACCAGAAACGUUCUUAAUGAGCUCCUCUUCAAAUUUGGGACGAGCAGGCAUUAGGCUGUGCACAAUGCUGUAAACGCCCCUAGCCCUUGCCACACCCUAGGUGCGUACGCGUGCAUGUCCGACCUGAGUUAUCUUAUUACGCGCGCAGUUUGAUCUUCCCGUAUUGACAUCCCUGCUGUCUAUUCUCCUGCGAAUCCUUCUGCUGGUGACUUCAUCCGAGUCCAUUUUCUUGCUCCUCAGUGCAUGUUCAUCUGCUUUUCCCUGUUAAUAAAUAUAGGAAUCCCAUAACAAACAGCAUUUGACAAAACAGAACGUAAUAAUAACAACAAAACUUGACUCCAUCCUCAGUGCAUGUUCAUCUGCUUUUCCACUUCAAAGCAGCUGACGGCACGAUUCGUACUUGGACUCCAAAAUGUCUAGAUUAUGGAGAAACCAGCCUUCUAUCCAAAACACACAAAGAAGUGUAUUUUCCGUUUAUACCAAUUAAGUGUGUUGAAGCAUGUCCCACAUGGCCACAUAGGAAACUUGUUGAGGUUUAAAUCCUCUUAUAUAGAAAGUUCGACUACUAAUUGCCUUGAGGCCUUAAUUCUGUAUAAAACCAUACCUAUUGAAUUGCACACGUGCUUAAGUUAAGGUCAGUAUUGAUGGUAAUUAGUAGUGGGCUGCUGGGCCGUCUUAAAAAAACUGGUACAAAGGGCAAUUUAUAGAAGCAGUGUUGAGAUAAGGGCAAUUCAUCUGUUCUUUUUAGAAGGAUAUAUAUGAAUGAAGCAAGGUUUAUCUGCUAAUGCGGCUCAGCCCUUUAUCAAAAAGUGAAAGAUCAAAAUUACUUUUACAGCAAGAGCAAUACCAGAAGAUGUAAUCUAAAUUAUUUAUAUUUGGUUCCCUUGAAAUCCUUUUGACUGCUUCAACAUACUAUAUGCAGACAGAACCAGAACCAAGUCCAGACUCACUCGUAAUAGGUCUCCUCAUCCACAACAAUAUCCCAGCUUUCCCUUGUCGUGGUUUUCCCAUAUUUGUGCACCUUACUGCAAAGAGAGAGCAAGUUAACUUGUCAAAGAAAAACCAGAACAAUAGAUGCCAAUGCAGUUCAAAAAGUUUAUUUCCCUUCAUACCCAUUUCCGAAGUGCUCUUCUCCCCAUGUCCUUGACCAACCUAGACAUGAGAGAACAAAAACAGAGUUACAUCAGAUUAAAUUAUUGAAAGAAAAAGGUUCACUUCUGUUGUAACAAAUCGACAUUAGAAUCAAGCAACCACGCUAUGAAAUACAAAUUUAAAAUGUAACAAUUUACUGUGUCUAAAAGGAAUCUUGAAAUAAAAUAGUUAAACCCUAAACAGCACCACUGCAAAUAGCAUAAGAAAAUUAAAAUUAACCCUAAAGAAAUUGGGAGAGAAGAAUAUGAAAAGGGAAUACCUUUCGGCCCCUUUGAGUUAUUGGAAAAAACCCAACAGAGCAAAAGAUAAACAAAAAUACAGGCGGAAAGAAAAUAAAUUUUCAACUUGUAAGAUUCAUACGCGAACAGAUUGGUGGUCAAAAGCAUUUCGGAAUUCAGAGCCAUCAAGCUUUUUGAUCUGCAUGGAAAUUAUUUAUGAAGUUUGAGAUUCUUAUAGACGCUUUAGACACAUCGACAUAUUGAGAAAGCAAUAUUCAACAACCUAGUACCCAUGCUCCAUAGAAGGUUGAGAAAAUAUGAAUGUCUGGACUCUGGAGUGAGAAAGUAAAAGGACUUACCGCAUACUUCAUAUCUUCUAACUUUGUGUAGUCUACAAUCCCUGUUGUGCCUACAAAAAAGGCAUAGGACAAAAGCUAAAUCAAUCGAAAUUCUGAUGUCAUGAUCUAGGUCUUAGGAUUAAACUAUUGAAAUAACACUAUAUGAAAUAGCAGUGUAUAUCCCAAAAAAAGUAUGAAAUCUGGUUGAUAAUUGCAGAGUUCGAAGGGAUUUACCUUUGGAUUCUUCGGCUUUCAGAUGGAGUUUGCUUAUGUAUGGGAGAGAGAGGUGGAGCGGCUAGGGUUUGAGUAUGGAAGAGAUGAAAAAUGGAGAGAACACCUGUUUUGGCUGCAGCAACUCACACACUCCGGACAAAUCUGCAAAUGUCUAAAGGGGGGAAAAUAUAAAAAGAAACCUUAACAACUGAAUUCAAAGAAACAUUAUUACAUUGUAAAUAGCAUUUCACAAAAAAAAUAAAAUAAAAUAAAAUAUACUAAACUAAACUAAUUACACUCGGAUUGCAAUGCUAUCAUUUAAUAAUAGGAAUUCCCAUAACUUAGCAGAAGAUCCUGCAUCUGCAAAGGAUCCUUUAAAACCUAUUUUUUUUAACAACCCCACACCUGCAACACAUCCAGUCAAGGUAAACCAAUAGCACCCUCAUGCAGAGCUCUUCUGUGCAUAUAUACCCCUUAUAAGUAAUCUUAAUCAAUCAGUUAUCAUGAAUAUACAACUUAUAUUAAUUUUCUACAAUAUCCAACACACAAAUAUAACAGAAGAGGAAACUUUUACUUAAGCAGCACAAAAUGAUAUCCUCUGCAUUUCAUUCCAAAAUCCAUCACUCUUAUGUCUUUGCCUGCACAGUUUUUGCUCCAACAUAGCCUGCAAUGAUGAUAUAGCACUAUCAAUAAUUAAGACAUAAAGAAAGGCUAUCCUAGCUAGGUAUUAUGAUUGGAGUAAACCAACAACACCAUAAGUAAAGUAGCAGACCAAAUUUUUUUUAGAAUUGAUGUCUUAACAUGUUUAAGUAGCAAAAAGAUUACAACACAUUGGAUGUGUUAACACGUCCAUAAGCUGAUGACUCCCUCUCCGGUUUACCACAUCAUUCUUAAUGUACUCAACAAUGCAGCAGCAAUUAAAAGUCCUUGGAAAAUGCCAAGCUACUACAAUGACAUAACGAAAACUAUAUCUCACCUUACACCCUUGUUGGCAUAGACAACAUAUCCGUCCUUGUUCGGGGUGAAUCAUAAUCCUGAAUUCAAUUAUCAUCAUCGUCGAGAAUGUCAAACUGUAAAUCAACCAUGCAUGGAACAAAACUUAGAAAUUAAACAAUUAUCAAAGCUUAUGAAGAAUGCUAAACCCAACUAAUUCGAAACAUAAAGUAACCCGAAAGAGAGAAAACUUAUAAAUUUUACAUAAAUUAUAAUCCUUAACAGAAGGAUGGAACAAAACAGGUUCAUUCUUAAGAAUAGAUGUAACUAGUAAUAGGCCUGCGCGCUGCUGCGGGACUUGAAUGCACCAGCCUUAACAACAUGAAUAAGACACAUUUAACAUGAAAAAAAUUCAACAUAAUCAUGAACGAACAAAAAGGAUAGCUGAGUGAACAGUGUUCGUAAGUAAAACAGCUUAGUUUUUAUAUACAUUCAACCAAGCUGAUUACAAAAGAUGUGAUUGUAAAAAAUGUUCUGCUUACCUGAGAAACAAAAGCAACAUGCAUUUUACACAUACAAGACAUCUGAUAUUAAACCUAAAAUCAUGUAAUUCUGUAUGAAGUGGAGAAUAAUGCAGAAAGAUGGUUUUCUAUAGUGCUGCCAAUGACAAUUAAUUUCUCAUGAAAAAAAAGAAAAGAGAAACACAGGUAUAAAAGAAUAUUAUUUUUUAUAGUUGCAAACAUUAUGAAUUCCAAAAAGAAAAACUACAGAUAACACUUCAAUCACAGAUCUAAGCAUCUAAAACGUGGCAACCCAGAUACCAUUCAAGACAUUGCUCAGCAUCAUGGAUAAACUAACCUAUCUGUGUCCCUGUGCUCACUGCAUGUCAUAUACACCCGACCAACUGGGCAUAGGAGCAUAAUGAGGAAAACUUUCAGCACCAUUUUGUACCUGAAAAAUGAGGGAGGAACUAAUUAAAGCGUUCCUCACUUAGAAUAAAUAAUGCAUGCAUAAUAGCCAAAUGGACAUUGCGCAUAUAAAUUGUUGUGGCAAUAACUUGCAAUAGAAAACGUAGUUAAAAAUAAGAUAUACGAAAUACCAACAUUGCAAUGGUAUUUUUUUUUUCCAUUCGAUUGUACUGAAGCAUGCAUCUUAAAUUAGGUACUACGUGAGGUCUCUAUAAUGAAAUGGGAGAUUGAAUACACUUGACGAAACUGAAAAUUCAAAUAUGCACACGCUCCAUAGUGUAUCUUCACAACCAAAAGAAACGUUUAUAUAUACGACAUAUGUUUGACAUUGUUUUUCCCCACUCAAAUCGUCUUGAGAAAAUUUGACUACUAAAAACUACAAAACUUUGAUUAAAGAAUCAAAUAGAAUAGCAUGAGAAAGUUAUUAUUACACCAUACCUGACUUUUUUGCAUAUAAAAACACCUGUAUUUCACCUGAUUUUGUAAUGAAAUACAGAUGCUUGUAGUUCACCAGUACAUAGCUGCCUGUCAUUUGUUGUCUUCUUCGGGUUCAAGAUCCUUAUAUUGUCUGAGACGUGAAAGAAUCAGAAAUUGUAUACAGUUUGAUAAUGAAACAUGUAAUGUGAUUAUGUGACAACAAUGCACUCCUCUCUCUCAGAGAGAUAAACAAAGAUAUCAAAAACAGAGAGGCAAUGUUAAGAUAAACAGAAAGGCAAUGUCACAUUGUUUUGCAUGAUCUUGAAAAUUGGGGAUAAGGUAUUCAAAGUGCUAACAAACACGUGCAAAUGGGGAUAAAAAAGGGGAUAAAUUGAAAAAUAUAUAUGCUCUUAAUCGAGAACUUCAUCAAAUAAACAAUAAAAUCUAAUGUAAUCUGUCCAAAACCAAAGAGAGUGAUAAUUUGGAGGCACUAUAAUGUCUUGGGCAUCGCAUACUUGCGGUAUAUGAUUGAUGCAUCUGUUGCUCAAUCAAAUCAUUUGCUUGGCUAAAAAAGUUAUUUUUACAAUAAAUAGAUUCGCAUCCAAUUUAUGAGAAAUCAUGCAAAAGUAAAUGUAAAUGAUAACGGAAUCAUGAAUGCGAAUAAGAAACACAUACAUGCCAAAAAGAAAACCUACUAUAGUGUGUCAAGUUACUUGCAACAUAAUUUUUUAUGCCAUUAUCCAUUUCGCAAUACUUUAAAAAAAUUUCGUUUGAAAAAGCUUUGCUAUGAUUUUUAGGUUUGGGAAAAAUAAUACCAUAAAAAUUAAAAAACAAUUACUAAAAAUCAUGGCCUGUUAAUAGCAAAAUACACUCCUCAACAAUGUAUAUGAACAUGUGAGUUGAAAAUUUGAAAUAUUCAACAACUAAAAGAAAGAAGCAAAAUCAGAAGAAAAGAAAGAGAUACUCACUCAAAAAUAAAGAUGUAAUAAUGCCAGGCUUCUUCUCCUCGGCAUCCAGAAUUCCAUUGUUGUCUCCAUCUUCAACCUUCAAUGUAUUUAAAAUAUGAAAUGGAAAAAACCCAGAAGAAAUCAUUACAUAAAAUAAAAUUAUCCAAGUAAAAUUAAAGGAUGGAUAGAAAAGAAAUGAAGGCAGUUUAUUCGGACUUAAUUAGAGACUUACUGAAUAAGCUUGAAAUCUAUCUCACACAUCUCUUAAACUUCAACCCCUAUCCUCCUUGCCUCUGUAAUAUGCACACAUAUAGAAAAAGAAAUCGACUUUAGAACCUACAUUGAUACAUAUCUUGUGUGAGUAGGUCUUUCCUGCUUUUCCCCAAUCAUGCAUAUCAAAGAAACGAAAAAGAAGGAAAUCACCCAUAUAUAUAAUACCUUAAGUUUAAAUGCAUCCCAAUUUUGGGUUCCAACGUCACAGAAAGAAUGUCUUAUACAUAAUUUAACAGUACCCCCGACAUCGGUCCAUCCAUUCGUAUUAAUAGUUAUUGUCUGCACAAACCUCAAUUACCUUACAAUCUAUCAUUAUUGACAUAAAGUUCAUACAAUAUGGGACAUCAUGACCUCUCUUUGGCCAGCACCAGUUUUUCCAAAAUGAAAUCAACUAUUACUGCAUUAAUUAUGGGUCCAUCUGGCCAAUUCAUUGAAUUCGCAGACCCAAAAAUUUCACCAAUUAACUGAAUUUACAUACAAAUGGGAGAAGUACAAAAACAAAGACAAUGGCAUAAAUUAUACCAUAAAAAUUACACUACGAAAAAUUUAGAGACCAAAAUCCUUGUUAACAGAAUUUAUUCACAUUAAAAGACACAAUUUCGGUUCAAAAAACUAUCAAAUUUAAACUUUGAUAUCAUAUGAUAAAAUCUUAAUUAAACUCACAAUCUCAAGAAGUUGAAACCAUGUUAAGUAAAAGAAACAAAUUGAAAAAAAUUAAGAUGUAAAUAUUGAUAAGAACAACAAAAGUGGCAAAUACAUUAUACACAGAUAGGACCCUGAAAUAUCGGAACCAGCAGCAACAAAUAGAAUUAAGAAGAAAAAGGAUUAGCAGACUUAAUAAAUGAGAAAUAGGAUAACAGGUACGAACUCAGUUUUUCCACUAUGAAUAAGAGAUCCAGUGGCAUAACCUAACAUUAGGUAGAAUCAAUGCUGGUUGAUUGAAUUUUCAUUCCCUGAAAAUUCAGAAAAUGAUGUGUUUUGAUCUGCAGAUAGAAGCAUUCUAUAUAUAUAAAAAAAAAAUAUAUGGAGACAUGAUGAGGUUCAGAAACCAAACCAUGUCGGUAAAAUCCUCUUGGCAGGUUGCUCAAGGUUGACCUCCUAGCCCUUGGACCAGUCAGGAGACUUGGCCUCCUGCUUUCAAGUUUGGAAGGGAAGUAAAAGGUUCAGCCAAUAAGUAAAAGAAUUGAUUCAGAGGAUAGAAUCAAAAUUUCAAAAAUAUUAUUUGAUGCGAUUAAAACUGUUCCCAAUGAUAAAAUGAAUAAAAAAAUCCAUUGGAAUAAAAGAAAAAGAAUGAUUAAAAUUAUUCACAACCCUUGCUGUUUUUACCUAACCAUUUGUAGGAUCCAUAAAGGGCCAAAAAAAGUUUUUUACUUCUCCUCUAGUCCCAUAAAUUUGGAUUCCAUCUCGUCCAAGCAAACUAACAAUCAUUACUAUACUUUGUUUUAGCAUGCGAACACAAAUCUCAAAAAAAAUAGAUAAUUCAUUUACAAAUUUAAAUUCAAUUUUUAUAUCUCGAUAUUUGUUUGUUAAACUCAAUGAUCAAACUUCAGACUCAUGCCUUCCAAAAAGAAAAGAAAACGAAGAAGAAUUGAAAGCACUUCCCAUUCCAAGGAAAGAGCAGCCAUAAUUAGGAUCCAAAACUCAUUCUUUAGUCUCCUCAUCUGAAGCUAUAUAUAAUCAUUGAACAAAAACGUUUAACGUCCAGCAGAAAGCAAACUGCAAUCAAAAUUUCAAAAAAGCAAAAUAAUGCGCAGAUAAUCGACAGCUGCAACAAACAAAAAAUAGAAAAAUCAAAUGCAGAUUGAAGGAAAAAUCGAGACCGCAAUCGAAACUCAUGCUUGUAUGGGUAAUUAAUUGUAGAUACCAAAUCAUCAAAAACCACUUGUCUACACCAAAUUGCAUACAAAAGAUAUUGGGGCAACUCAGAUUGUGCAAUGAAAAACAAAGUCAAACUACGACGUAGAUGUCUAUCGGAAUUUCAUUCAAAGAAUGAUUAAAUAAAGACAAUGGCAUGCCAAAGAUUAAAUACCCUAAGCGACAGUGUCAGCCAUGAGCUUCCCUCUGUGAGAGCACAGGGGUGUAACUGCAAAAGAAAGCCGGAGACUGAGGGCAAACUGUAAUUUCGUCAAAAAGGAGGAAGUGUACAAAAGAGAAGUGACAGCAAUAAGCGUAGACGCCAAGGACAAAGUAAAUAUGUAUUUGUGAAUGGGGUUAAGCUGCUGCUAGCUUUGUAUAGUGUAAUAAUGCAAUUGCAAAUAGACCAAGUUACUGCUACUAAAAGCUUUUGCAAAAUCAUAAAACUCUUAACAGUUUGAACCCUACCGAAAAGUUUAUAUGAGUUAAAGAACAGUCGUACUUAAGUGCAGCAAGAUCAUAAGCUCUUGCAGCUUCUCCUCCAUAUCAGAACCACCUGCAGUCCAAAUUAACCAAGAUUCAAGGCCAAAGCAAGAACAAAUUAGUGAUAAUUUAAACUAAAGUCCCUAAUUAUUGUUGCAGAGAGAAUUCAUAUCAAGAUUAACGACAUUAUUUGAUUCGAAUGGAAUCCAAACGCAGCAUAAACAUGAAAGGUAAAAAAUUAAUACCAAAAGUCACAUUUAAGCAGCAAUUAAUAGCAUAAAUCAGAUUUUAGUGGCAUGGACCAAAAUAAUUCAGUAAAAAAGAAACAAUCCCAAACAAAUAGAAAGAACUGGAGAAACAAUUCGAAACAAAUCUUCGGAAAGCAACCCCAUCCCUCCCUCACCCUCUCUCUCUCCAAUUCCAACUUCUCCCUACAUCUCUCUGUCUAUAAUAGAUGUGCAGUUUUAUUAAUCUUUGUUGCCGAAGCGUGCAAGAUAGUGAAAAGAUUGUUUAUCUAAGAAAAAAAAGGGCACAUUUUAGAUGGAGACAGAUGGCAUUUAACAAAUUCUUCAUUAGUGGAGUAAAUAAUUUGCAACCACCUAUUUCCUGGUAGCAUUAAAAAAAAAAUUCAAUUUUAAAAAAGAAAUGUACUUUUUAGUUCAAUUUCCACAGCCAUAGUAAUUUAUGUGGACUAAAAUUAAGAUUAACUAAUACAUCCAAUCAACUGCAACUAAACAACUUAUAGUAAUUGAAUCUGUGUUUGUGGAUGUGAGAGAGAGAGAGAGAGAGUUAUCUAUUAUAAAGCCAACCUUCUUUGAAUUGGUCCUCUUAUGGCUUAUUACCAAAACUCUCCAUUGCAUUUGCAGUAAUGCCCUCUGCUUCUCCUCCUGCGAAUUAUCAUUCUGUAAGUAAAAGGUACAAAAACAUCAAUUACUUAAUGGUAGAUAUGUACUUUAGACUUUUGAAGAUCCAAUUCAUCCUGCAUCUUCUCACACUCAUCUUCAUGCUGAAGCUGCAAACCUGUCAGCUCAGCUUCAAGUUCGCUCCUCAUUGAAGUUAUUUUCUAUGAAAAUGAUAAACUGGUUUGUAACGUAAGCAUAUAACACUCUAGUUAAAUUAGUAGUUCCAACUUAAUUCAAAGCUAAAAACGACAUUAAUGACCACAAUUUAAGAAUCCAGAAACAGCCCAAACUAACAACACACACAGAGGACAGACACUGAAAGACAUAUUUUUUUAGAGAACCUAACUAAAAAUUAAAAACAAACCAAGUAAAAUUUUCAGAGUUUAAAAACAGGAAACCAUUACAAUCUUUACAGAAACCAACUAAAAUUGGAAUCUGAAAAAAAAUCCGCUCAAUUUUAACAGCCCUGCUGCAUAUAUUGGGUUUUUUUAGGCAUGAGACAACACAAACGAAGAAAACAUAACAUAGUUGUAAACCUUAGGCUCCAAUCAGGUCAAGUGUGAGAUUUCAAACACGGAGAUUUACUCCAUGUUUAAAAACUGCCAAAUACAUUGCCAACUGUUAAGAGUAUGAACUACAAAUCUAUAAAGUAAAAAGACUUGCAGAUAAGUUUAAACAAUCAACAUUCAACUUAUGAUUGUUACUGUUUUUUAGCUGGAUGUUCACAUUCUAAUAAGGUAUUAAAAGAGAUUAUAAGCGUGUGUGCUCUUAAACCACCCAACACCAUGUAUUAAUCAAAUAAUUAACAUCUAAAGAUGGAGACAUGAAACACGAAACCUGCAAUUAGAUCCCAAUCACAAAAUGCCAAAAAAAUCCUAAUCUAACCAUCCCUAUACUAAUAGCCCAUUCGAGCAGCUAUUAGCACCUAACCCGCUACUUUGGCAACCCACCAACCCGCCACACCGUCAUGUCCCAUCCCCUCUCCACCACUCACUAUAUCUCUCACCUUUCUUUCUUGACAUUUCGCUCGGUGCACACAAACACCAAGCCAACCAUUGCCGGCCUUUGUCUAAAAGUGGACAAAAUCCCAUAGGUCCUGGCAGAGGACCUAGCUAAAUCUCUCUCCCACUCAGUCGAAACCCGUAGCUACCAUUUCUCUCCAAUCUGUCAGUCUCUCUGUCCCCCUCUUCUCCUCCCCCCAACAACCCUCUGACCGAUGCAUCACCCACAGCCACACCCACCCGCACCCGAGUCAAAAAUCCCAACGAUCCUCUCCCUCCAACCCGUCAACAAAUUAUGGAUUCCGAGAAUGUAUCUUGAAAACUCAGAUGCACAUGAUUAAAAUUAGUAGAUAUUAAGGACGUGUACUUAACAGAACAACACGAAGAACGAAUGAGUACAUUACAAACUAAAUGACCGUGUCAGCUAGAUACUUCUUAAAGAACACCUCUAAUCUACCAGUAUGAUUACUCAGUUUUUGGUUUUUAAAUUAAUACCCUAAACCUUACAUUCAAACUCAUUUCGAAUGCAAACAAAAGUAAAUGAUAAGUCCCGAGCUUUUCUUUCUAGCCUCAACUCAACUCAAGUUCCCAACCUUCACCUUCCAAUACAAAGAAACUAACGCAUCAAUCUGCAAUUUCGCAAACAUAUAAUUCAACUAACCAAGUUCUGUGUCCACUCAAAUGCACAUAUUUGAGCUCAAUCAAACUUAAAUUUGAAACAAAUAGUGAUGAAAGAUCAAACAUUUAUACCUAGCUUAGGAUCCGAACCAAUCUCCUCUUUCGCCUCCCUCGUCGCCGUGUCCCCAUCGUCCUUGUCCCCCUCCUCUGUUUUCCCACCCGGCAAAGAAACUUCACCUGCAGAAACACAAAACCAAAAAUUAAAAAACCAAUCUUUCCCAUUUCCAUUUUUAUCAAUUUCCUCAAUUUUUCCCAUUUCCAGAAAAAUGAGCAAGAAGCUUAAGCAGGAAAAAAAUCAUAAUUUCAACAACCAAAACCCAAUACCCGUUUAAUCAUACACGAACGAAAAAUCUAAACACAGAGUCACAGAUUAACGAACUGAAAACCCAAAAAAAAUAAAGGAAACUGACCUUACUUAAGAACAAUACAUAGAACACAGAGAAACGAAACAAAUAAAGGAACCCCCAAAACCAAAUAAAGGAACCCUCAAAACCUGACCUAACAGUGCAACAAAAUCUGGAAAUAAUUCACAGCAAAAAGGCAGAAAUGAUGACAAUCUAUGCUAACAGUAAAGAAUCGAAUUAAAAAUUGAACUUAGCUUUUGAAAUCCAGCCACUCAUCCGACAUGCAAAAGGGAACGGAUGAUCGAGAGUGAAUCAUGGACUGAGGGACCUUACUCGACCCAUCAUUGGAGCUACGUUUGUAGCUUUUGGGGAGAAAAAAAUUGAAUGUGAAAGCUGCUUUUGAUGUGGCCAUUAAGGUGGUGCUUCAGCAACCGAAGCAAAAGAAGAAGAGGCAGAAAAAUGUGAGUAUUCCAUGAAGAAAAAAAAAAGGUUAAAAAAUCACUAAAAAGAAAAGGCAGAAAAAUGCAGGGUAUUCCAUGAAGAAAAAUUCAACAAUUAAAUAAUAUAGCUGUAAACCUUAGACUCCAAUCAGGUCAAGUGUGAGAUUUCAAACACAGAGAUUUACUUCAUGUUAAAAAACUGCUAAAUACAUUGCUAACUGUUAAGAGCAUGAACUAUCUGUAAAGUAAAAAGCCUUGCAGAUAAGUUUAAACGAUCAACUGUCAACUUAUUAUUGUUGCUGGUUUUGAGGUGGACGUUCGUAUUCUAACAUGGUAUUAAAAGAGAUUAUAAGUGUGUGCGCUCUUAAAUCAGCCAACACCAUGUAUUAAUCAAAUAAUUUAUAUCUAAAGAUUGAGACAUACAACAUGAAACCUGCAAUUAGAUCCCAAUCACAAAAUGCAAUAAAAAAAUUCCUAAUCUAACCAUCCAUAUACUAACAACCUAUUCGAGCAGCUAUUAGCACAAUUUACCUCCCUCUCUAUUCUUCCCCACCCCCUCUUUAACCAAAUAAAAACUCAUUUGUCUCACUAAAUAAAAACCUCAAAUUUGUUUUUUCAAAGCUGCAACAACAUCACUAAAAACACCAUGUAAUAAAAAUUUAAAAAAACCAAUCCAAUUUAAGUCGAGAAGCAAAUGACCAAACCUCCUAUUUUGAGGAAACAUUUUGCAUUCAAACCUAAAAUGCUUGCCUGCAAAGAAGGAUUAAAUAGCAAAGCAGACUUUCGGGGGAAAUAAAAAAAACAGACUAUUUAUAAUACAAUAAAAAUAAAGUAAUUCAUCAUCCCCACCAUCUCUGUGAGCUUUAACAGAACAGAGGAAUCAAAUUAAGCAAUAUAUAAAUUUAAGUUGACAUUCCAGUGUUCUACCUCUAACCUUGGUAGCAUGCAUGCACUGUAAGUUAUAAAGUGAAUUAAGCCAAGAUCUUCUAACUUCAUGAUUUUCACAUAUGCAUUAGAUGGAGAAAUACAAUAAAUAAUCAAAUAUGUAAGACUCUGAUAUUCAAAACCAAACAAACCCAAUUACACUUUUAGUUCACUAACCCCAUUGAAUAAAAUCCAAUUCAAUAAAAUAACAGAAAAUUAAACAACCCAAAAAUCAAAACAACCCCACUUGUAGUUUUAGCUCACUAAUCCGUUGGAUAAAUAGAUGCCAAAUUCAAUCAGAAAACAUACAAUUAACAACAACCCAGAAGAGCCAUCCGAAAACCCAACCAAUUAACCAAAAAAUACCACUUGUUCUUUUAGCUUAGUAACCAACCUCUACUUGUUUUCUGGCAAAUUUGGGGUCCUUUGAUUUCUAGACUUUCAGUAGAAACUGAUUAUACCAUGGGCUAAUAUUCAAGUACCACAAAAUAUAAUUUUACCGUAGUAAGCUUUUUGAUUCACUCCAAACGAAGAUAUUAUAUGUUCACAUAUAUAUAUUCACAACCAUAAAAAGAAGAACUUAUCUCUGGCAUUUUAAUAAAAAUAAAAAUAAAUUAUUCACCCACAGUAAAAACCGAAACAGCUAAAUUAAACCCAAAAAUUAAUCAUGAUCAUACAUAUGUAUUCCUGACAAAUGUUUAGCCCUUUAAUUAAAACACUAAAAUAAAAAAUUGCUCACCCACAGUAAAAAACCGAAACAUGCAAACCAAAGCCCAAAAUUUAAUCAUCACUAUUACUUUUUUUUUUUUUGGUGUUUUUAAGUUUCAGGGAAAAAUGGAAGCACAAACAAUCAAAAAACCCAAACAAAAAGAAAUUAACACCAAAGAGAUAAAUUAUAUACCUGACCCAGAAAAAGCUUGGAAGCUCACAUAAUGAAACCCUAAAACUCGAAGAAGGAUGCUUCCUGCAAACCAAAUACAAAAUCAGACUCUCUCUCUUAGAAAGAGAGAAGUUAUCAAGUCCUGUACUUGGUUAUAUUUGUUCAAGUUAGGAAAAAUCGAGUACAGGGUUGGUACCUGGAGCUUGAGAAAUCAGAGAGCUUGCCUGUUUGAGAAAAGAUGAUAACAACAGCUUCAGAUUCACACAGAAAACGUACAAAAAACGCACAACAUGCUCUCUGCCCUCUCUCUCUCUCCCUCCCUGUCCAUCCGUCCCUCAAAAAGUGGGAAAAAAAAUCUCCAAACGUCUCUCCCACUCAUGAAAUCGAGGAUCUGCAGCAAUGGCGCUGAGGUCGCCACUCCUCCCUCUCCCUUUCUCUGUCGCUCUGUCUCUGUCUCUGUCUCUGUCUCUGUCUCUCUCUAUCGAAGGCAUGGCCUUUCAUCCCCGAAACCCUCACUGAAUGACAGCAAACCCAAACCCACCCCAAUCCGUCUCAAACACACAGGACAAAAUUGCCCUUCCAACCCAGCCCCAAUACCAGCCCAAACCUUACGGUUUUGUUGUAAAUAGCGUGAAAUCGAGUGGCUCCCUGAUAAGCCAUAUGGACAAAAUUACCCUCUGAAAUUUUGAGAAUCACCCUCCCAACCCACUCCCAUUCGGCUGGUACUGUUGUAAAUAAAGCAAAAUAAAAACAAACGUGAAUAGUGCCUGCCCUCCCCCUACUUUAGUAUAGAUAAUUUUGCACAUUGCAUAUAUGUAGAUUAAGGACGGUGGUAACAUACCUUGUAAUUUGUACAAAUUAGGAUUUUCAUUCAAAGAACUAUAAUAUACACAAUUACAAAAAAAGUGAUUCAAACUUGUUCUUCUCUUAAGGAAAUUACUCACAGUUGAAAUUCUGAAUGGAUGAAGUUUUGGCUUCCCUUUCCGACUAUAUUUGAUUAACCUUUUUUUAAUCCAAUGAGUGCCUUCAUGAGAGAGAGAGAGAGAGGAAUAUUAGGUGAAAAGUAUUGCCAAAUCACACAGAGAUCAAAAUCUUGAAUAUAUAUGUUUAACCAUGUCAAAGUGAGUGUGUAAAGGGUGUAGUCUGCAGAAAGGGCAACAUUUUCACUGCUAGAAAGUUGGAAACUAAACUUUUACACAGAUAUUGGAUUUUAUUAAUUCCCUUCGCGAAUUGAAAAGCAAAUUGUUCGAGUAAUGCAGGUAAAUUCGAUAUACAUAUGCGUUGAUCUAUGUGACGGUUAUAAGUUAUAACUGUAUUGUCUUAACGCAAAAAUGAUCAUAAAUGUAAGUGUCUGUAUUAUGGAAGUAAGGGACUUACAGCAAUUGCUAUGAGCUUUAACAGCAGUCACUCCAAGUACCUUAUUACGGAAGUAAGGGACUUACAUCAAUUGCUAUGAGCUCUACCAGCAGUCUCUCAAAGUGGUGCAAGGGCUAAAAUUAUAAAUAAAAAGUAAUUUAAACAAUUUAACUUAAUAAAAUAUUGUAAUUUAAACAAUGCCUAUAUAUUCAAACAUCCCAAAACAGGAAUGAACUUCUAGAAAACAUGCGCAUGAAAAUAAACGGCAUUACUCACCCAUUGAGUUGGACCAUCAAACUGGAGCGUAAGAAGGAUCAUCAUGUACCUAUGAAACCCAAAGGAAAAUUUUAGCAACCCCAAAGCUUGUAUGCAAGCGUGAAUAAGUAUGCGUGUAUGAAUCUAUUCAUAGUGAAGAAGGCUACCUUAAGAAAUAUUUGCAUCUGCAGCUUCAUAUGGCCAUACAACAAAAAGCAUCGCAUAUGAUAACAAACCCCAGCUGCACCACAAAAGGAAUAUGAUCUUCCUCUCGACUUGUAUUUGCAGUUGUUACUGUAACAUCUGCAGACAGCAUACAUAAGCACUGAUUCGAUAAUUCUAAAGGAAAAAAAGUUCUUAUUCGAUAAUGCACCAAAUCCUAUCCAAAAACCAAGGGGGUGCCAUAUCCCUAGAUUAACAGAGCAUCUUUCUUUGUUCCAAAACAAAUUGCAAUUGGCUUUGGUAAAGUAGAAAGAUUACCAGAUACCGACUCUGUUCCAUUAUUCGACUGUCCUUUUAGUUCUAUCUCUCAACAUGGGAAAUACAAUAAGACAGUAAAGACAAAAGUUAGUGAUGCUAUUACAUAGUGAAAGAAAAUAAGACAUUCACAUAUUGAUAGCUAUUUACUGUCCUUUCUCAUCAUAAUCUUGGCCCCAAUAUAUAUACUGAAUUUUGAAUGCAAUGAGAGAAAUAUACCUUUGGGGCGUCAAUGCCAGAAGAGUGAGUGAGGGAUCUAAGAUGUUUGAGAGCAGGAAUUUUUAAGUAAUUUGUGUGAAAAAGUUGAAGAGCUUCGAACAGAGUGGAGUGGGUUGGCCUGGGCUAAAAUAAAGAGGAUGAACUCUAGAAAGUAGAAAAUGUUGUUAUUCAACCAAACUCAAAAGUAAAGAAACCAUACAAUUAACAUAUAAAUAAGUUUUAUAUACCAAUGUUUACAUGUACGUUGUUUGAGAAGGUAAAUUAGCAACAUAUACAGUGAUCAAAAGAUUAACAGCAAUAAACUGCUCAUUAUUCGAAAUAUACAUGAAAGUUGUCAUUCACAUGAUCCAAAUGGUAGAGGACAAAACAGAAGGAAGCAAAUAUUAUAGCAGCAUAAGUUGAAUAAUUGCAGCAAGUAAACAAAUAGAAAGGCUAGCUAGAUUACACAAUCCAGUUCUAGGUCGGACUAACCAUGUUAGCCAUCCGCCCACCACCAGCACCGUCGGCUUCUUAUUAAAAAUGUAGAAUAGAAGACUCAAAAACUGGAAAUGAAAGCAGGUAACAUUGAGUUUUAAUAACCAAAAAGGGACAUUGUUUAAGCAGCUCCAUAGCAGCAAUUAUACUUGGACGAUGAGCUGCAAAAACAGAAAAGAAAACACAAAUUAAACUAAAAAAAAUAUAAAAUUUAGCACUAAUCCAGGAUUAAAUAUAAAAUAUAAAGUCAUUAGGAUUGGGACCUUUGCAUUGAGGAAUAUCUACUACAUUAUGAGUUCCCUCCUGACAGUGGCGGAUCCAGGAUUUUAAACUCGGGGGGUCUCAAUAAUAAAGGUCAAAAAAUUUAUACACAAAAACAACAUUGAAAAUUUAAAUAUAAUACAUUUCAUUCAAAAAUCAUAUGCAAAACAAUAUUACAAAUUAUAAAAUCAUAAUUCAAGCGUCCAUUACAAGGUUUCAUAAGUUACUACCUAAGUUAUUGAUUAUCUAAUAUGGACCACUAAAUUUAAAACACCAGUCAAAUAAAACUCUUCCCAAACUCCCACUAUCUUUCUAACCAAACACACCAUUUUUCUCUUUUACUAGUUUCCAAACAUCCACUUUCUCUCUCACUAAGAACACAGCUGCCAUACCUCCACCAACCACCUCCCUCCCCAUUCUCCCGAAGCCAUGGCAGCUCCACCCCCAAAUUUCACCAACCCAUGACAGAUCAUAUCCAUCUUACUAACCUUAUGCAGGAAAUUUCACCCAUAACAAAAAUUACUAAGGUGGUUGAAAUAAUUUGGGGAAAUUUGGGCUUAUGUACUGCCCCGCCAGACGACAGAUGGAGGAGAAGUGGGUGGCACCGAUGGAUGAGACCAUGGCAGAAGCAAGGAGAGAGGCUGGAAGGGUCCCUAUUUUCUUUCUUCUCCGUGCGCGGUCAUCUUCUCCGAGAAGAAGACAGCCACUGCAACCUACAACCUGCACAGACCUCAUGCUCGAGUACGAGGGGUCCCCGGAAAAUUUCUAGCAGCGAUUUAGGAUCGCCGACGGGUCCUGGGACCUCCCAGGUCCCUAUGUAUGCAGGAAAACCUAAGGUUCCUCCUUAGGUUUUUCGAUGUACCAAACCCGAAUCCGCCGUCCUUUUUCCAAAAUUCUAACGUUUUCAUAGAGUUUUAUUAAACGACCUUUAAUUGUGUUUAGGUGCAUCGGUGGAAGUGACCUCAUUCUUGAUGGUUCGAGCGGCUUUCGGGCAAUGGAAAACUUGUGAGUGGACCCCUUCUAAACUUAUAUAUUGUUAUAAAAUAUUAGCCUAGCAUGCAUUCCAUAUUUCAUGAUUUGAAUAUGAUUUAUAAUAUGCUUUAUGGACUUUUAUAAUUAUGGUUUACGAAAUAGUUUGAUUUAUCGAAAUUACGUUUUAUUAGGUAUUGAAUUAUUGGAUUUACAUAUAUGGAUUUCUAUGGUUUUCAAAUACGAUUUAUAUUACGGUUUUACGAACAUGAAUUGUUUUAUGGAUUUCAUGAAUACAAUUUAUCUUGGAUUUAUGAGAUGAGACUUUGAGCUAGUGAGCUCCGGGUUUGAUAUGAGUUUUGAGAUAUGUUUUUGGUACUUAAUCUAGUGGGUUAUCAUACGGCACAUCCGCACACCACGGGUAUAGAUGUGUAUGGCCAUAGGACACAGAUGAUGAGGAGGAGUAAGAUAUGAUAUAUUGUAUACCCCCAGUUCACUGUCGAAAGCAGUGUCAGAUAACUUCACUAGCCAUGGCUAGUGUCGGUAUGGAUGUUAUGCUAUUUCAUACAGCUUCACCUUCGGGUGAUAGACAGUUAUUUAGCUUCACCUUCGGGGUGAUGGACAUGUACUACCUUCGGCCAACUAUAAUAGCCUUAGUUGAGUACUUCACUGACAAGAUUUACAAAUUUGCCUUUGGGCGACGACAUUUUCAUUAUCAAGCACUGGAUUUUACAUAUCUACCUUCUAAAUGGAUUUUCAUGGCAUGCUAGGGUUUUUCAUAAAGCCUAUAUGUAGUAUUAUAUAUGUUUUCAAAAUAAGGGGUUAUUAUGUUCAUAAAUAAAAUGUUUUCCUAUUAUUAGUAUUAUUAAUAUAAACUUUGGUCCACUCACCUUUUCAGUUUUUGCGCCUCCUCAGGAGUUAGGAUCGAGGCACAUGAUCCCGGCAUCAUGGCAUGUUGAUAUAGGUAUCCUUGAAUCUUCUUAGUGUAGGUAUCAUUCCCUUAUUCAUAUCUUUUUAUAGUGAUUCUUUCCUAUUAUUUCUAAUUAGUUGUAUGCUCUGAACAAAUUCCUGCUUUGGUAUAAUCGUUAUAACUACUUAUCUUGUAAUUGUUUGCAUGUUUAAAAUGGUUUCGUCACCUUUGGGCGUGGGCUAGCACGUGCCUACCCUGGUAUGUUGGGGUAUCGGGGUUGGGGCGUGUCAAAGAUAGAGAGUGAAUUUCUAGCAGAUUCAAUGGUUGUCUACAUUUUAAAAAGAGCUUGCCGAAAAGAUUGAUUCAGAUGAAAUAACAAAGGAUUUCAAUUCCAUUAAGGAUUGAAGGGCACAACUUGAAUAGGUAUUUUUCUUUUUAUUUGUUAGGUUGUUAUGACAAGAUUGACGAUGUAUGUUUCUUUAUAUUGUAAGUUGCAACUUUAAAGGUUUUCUUCGUUAAAUCUAGUUGAAACUUGAUUCAUUUAGAGUUAAAUUUCUUACUUCAAAUUGUUGCUUUUAGGCUUAUUAUUGUGUAACUUUAUGCAAGCAACAAAAAAUUUUAACCAUUUGAUUUUGUACUAAUAAUUUUAGCUUAGCAUGCCACCAAAUAAUUCAUGUCUCCGCUAUUGAAAUCUUAGCAUGUGCAAUUUCAAAGUCUCGGUUGCCAAGUCUCCCCAGGCUGUUCAGCACCCAUUCUGAAUCUUGAUCGAGAUCUAGAGCAGUGCAAGUCAAGGAGUCUUCAUUCUCAUUUGAAACAAUGCUAAAAUUAUACCUCAGCUUGGACUCCUUGGGCAAAAUAUACCCAAAUGUAUUAAUAAUUUAAUACUACUUGUGGAUGCACCACUAGUCCAAAAAAAUCACCUCUCCUUUCUUAAUCUUCAAUUGGUGAGGGUCCCAAUCAAGCGUGAAAGGCCCCGGCGCACGGUUGGCUUUAGUUUCCCAUGAUGAAAUCGACGAAACGUGGCCAUUUGUACGGUUGACACCCAAUUUCAUGCCCGGCAAAAAGGUGUCAACUGGUAAUCAAAGCUUUACGUUCACUUCUUCUUGUACAAAAUUUCCCGAAUCCAAAAGGAUAGCCACAACAGUAGCAAUACUGUUACUUAUGUUGGUAGACCUAGUAGUUUGUGGAGCUGAGAAAAACACAAUUGGAUUAGGAUCCCUCCCGCAUAAUUUUCAAGGUUUUAUUCCUGUCCAAGGCAAGAGUGCGUACAAAAUAGGGGCUUUACGGUUGCAAAUCCAAGCAAUGUUGCCAUCGGCCUUGUUGCUCUGGAUAGAUACGUAGCUGGUGCUUUUGGAACUGUCGUCGUGUACACAGGAACUGAAACUGAACUUCUCCGAUGCAGAGACCAAAGAACUUGAGGAGUUGAGAGUGUCUCCUGCUGGUUUCAGUGUGUCCUUGCACUUGCAGCAUUGUGACAGGUCCACAGUCAGCAUGCAAAAAUGAUUAAGUUGAUUAUUGCCAUGAUUAAUUAAUGACCAUAACAUGAAGUUUAAUUUCUCCAUAUGAUGAGGAAGAAAGACAUGAAAUCCAUCACCAGAACAUGAUUAAGAAUUUAAUCAAGCAACGCGUCUUAGUUAAACCAUUACAAUCAUUGUACAAGGCAUUUAUAAAUUAAAAAAAAGGGAAUAAAGUAAUAAUUGUUAGAAUAAGAAGAAAAUGUAGUACAACAAUGGAGGAUAUGCUGCAAUGACUAGAGUGAGAGAGAGAGAAAGAAGAGAGCAGAGAAUAUGACACUGCAAUUCUUUUCACACGCAUUGUUUGAUUGCUCACUUAGUGAGAGAGGAACAUCUCUCUACACUUAACAGUUACACUUCCAAACUUUUGGCAGUAUUCAAAAUUACAUCCAAGUAAUCCUAGCCAUCCAUCUUACACCCUAUGAGAUGAAGACACAUGUACACUCACUUACUUAAGAACUAUGAGACUUAGAUAAGAAAGCAUACAACCAAUUUAGCUAAUCAUCCUAGCAAUAUAAGCUAGAAAUACAACUACCACAUCAGAUCACAAUUUACACACUAACAGCCCCCUUUAAAUUGUGAACUGAUUUAACUCCAAGAAGUUCCCUCAGAUAACUGAAUUGUUCUCUUGCCAAUGCCUUUGUAAAGAUAUCAGCAAUUUGGUCUUUCGUAGGACAAUGCAACAGCUCAAUUACUCCUUGCUGCAAUGCUUCCUUUAUGAAAUGGUAUCUCCUGUUGAUGUGCUUGGUCUUCUGAUGAAAAAUAGGAUUUUUAAUGAUAGCUAUGGCUGAAGUAUUAUCACAAUUCAUUGGUGUUGCAACUAUUUGCAUUUCACCAAAGUCCUCCAAAACAAAUCUCAGCCAUGUAGCCUGUGCAGUUGCUUCAGAUGCACUAAUGUACUCUACUUCAGCUGUUGAUAAUGCAACACAUUGUUGCUUGACUGAAGACCAAGAGAAAACUCCACUGCCAAAGGUAAAUGCAUACCCCGAUGUACUUUUCAUAUCAUCUUCUGAACCGCUCCAGUCACUGUCACAAAAUCCCAUUAAGAUUGCUCCUUUGCCUUUCUUGUAUUCCAAGCCAAAAUCAAGAGUCCCUUGAACAUAUCUUAGUACUCUCUUUGCUGUCCCAAGGUGCUUGUUGGUUGGACAGUGCAUAAACCGUGAUAGCAGACAUGCAACAUACAUUAUAUCAGGUCUAGUUGCUGUGAGAUACAGCAAACUGCCUACAAUUUGUCUAUAUUGAGCUUCAUCCGUAGUCCCACUUCCAUCCUCUUUUCUCAAUUUAUCACUUGGAACCAAUGGAGUACUCACUGACUUACAGUCUUGAAGUCCAAAUUUCUUCAGUAGAGAAGAAGCAUAUUUUCUCUGAUGAAUGAAAAUAUACUCCUCAGUUUGCAUUACUCCCAUACCAAGAAAGUGAUGUAAGAGUCCAAGAUCAGUCAUUUCAUAUUUGAGCAUCAUAUUAGAUUUAAAGUCAUCCAUCAAUUCCUGACAACUUCCAGUGUAUAUUAUGUCAUCAACAUAGAUAGACACUAUAAUCAUUUCUGAACUUUUCCUCCACUUGGUAUACAGAGUUGCUUCGCUAGUGCUUUUCUUAAACCCACAGAGUGUAAGAUAUGAGUCUAUUUCACCAUACCAGGCCCUUGGUGCCUGCUUCAGACCAUACAGUGCUUUAUGUAACCUGUAGACCUUAUCUUCUUCCCCUUGUACAAUAAAUCCAUCCGGCUGAUCAACAUACACUUCUUCUUCUAGUACACCAUUCAAGAAUGCCGAUUUUACAUCCAAUUGAAACAACUUCCAUUUGUUCUUUGCUGCCAGGGCAAUUAAUGUUCUGAUUGUAUCCAACCUUGCCACAGGUGCAAAGGUUUCAUUAUAAUCAAUUCCGGGCUUUUGUGCAUAGCCUUUUGCAACAAGCCUAGCCUUGUUCUUUUGAACUGAUCCAUCCAAAUUCAAUUUAGUUUUGUACACCCAUUUCACACCAAUCACAGGUUUAUCAGAUGGUCUUUUCACUAAUUCCCAAGUCUUAUUUUUCUCAAUCAUGCUGAUUUCAUCUUUCAUAGCUUUCUUCCAUGCUUUAUCCUGUGCAGCUUCAUAAUAGGAUUCUGGUUCAACAAUACACAUGACAUCUUUCAUAGAUUUCACUCAAACUUCUAUAUCUCAAAGGAGUAUGAUCAAUCUGAGAUGCAAAAAUUGAGUCACUAGCACUUCCAGAUUCAAUGAGUGGAGAAUCUGUAAGUUGAGUCUGAGAACCUUCAGCAACAGCUUGUUCCAUGGAAUCCGAAUCCUCAUCAGCUUCUUUCAUCUCUGAAGAUUCACUUGCAGCAAUUGGAAUGUACACUUCUUUGAUCUUCUAUCUAUCCCAAUCCUAUGUACCAUUCUCAUAAAAAAUAACAUCUCUUGAAAUGAUUACUUUCUGAUUUUCAGGAUUAAGCAAUCUGUACCCCUUUUCACAAGUGCCAUAUCCAAUAAAAAUACCAAUGACACUUGUUUCAUCCAGCUUCUGUCUCAGGUUUCCAGGAAUAAGGGAAUAACCUAAUGAGCCAAACACUCUCAAGUGUUGAAUUCCAGGUUUUCUUCCACUGAAUUUCUCAAAAGGUGUCACAUUUUCCAAUACUUUUGUAGGACAUCUAUUUAGCAAGUAGACAGAUGUAACUACAGCUUCACCCCAAAGACUAUAAGGAAGACCUUUCUCAUGAAGCAUACACUUUGCCAUCUCCACUAUAGUUCUAUUUUUUCUCUCUGCAACUCCAUUCUGUUGUGGAGAGUAUGCAACAGUAAGCUGCCACUCCAAACCCAAAGCUUCACAAAACUGUUCAAAUUCAUUUGAGGUAAAUUCUUCUCCUCUAUCUGUUCUCAAUUUCUUCACUGAAAAACCACUUUGAAGUUCCACCAUAGCUUUGAAUUUCUUGAAUACAUGAAAGACAUCUGACUUGUGUCUCAAGAGAUAUAUCCAGCACAUCCUCGAAUAGUCAUCAAUGAAUGUAACAAAGUAUCGAUUUCCACUUAUGGUUGGUGUUUGCAUAGGGCCACACACAUCUGAGUGUAUAAGUUCCAAUGGCAUUCUUGCUCUCCAGAUUGACUCCCUUGGAAAGGACACUCUAUGAUUCUUACCAAAUGCACAUCCCUGACAUACACCUUCACUGUCAUGCAUUUCAGGUAACCCAAGAACCAUAUCAUGCUCCUGCAAUUGUUGCAAACUUCUAAAAUUCAGGUGGCCAAACCGUUUAUGCCACAUUGUACUAUUCUGAUGCACAUUGGUUUUCAGUACCAAAUGAUCGUUUGACUUGAACACAAGUGGAAAGCAUCUGUUCCCCUUUUGUUUCACACUAACCACUAAAUUUGUCAGAGUUCUAUCAUAAAAAAUAUCCACCUUAUAAUCACCAAAUAACAGAAAAUACCCAUGUUCAGUCAUCUGCCCAACACUGAGAAGGUUUUCUGCAAUUCCAGGUACUAACAUAACUUCUCUUAUGUACCUUUUUCCUUUAUCCGUGUCAAUGACCAAGGUUCCUUUGCCUUUCACAUCAACAAGAACCCCUGUGCCAACUUGCACUUUUGCUUUAAUACUUCUAUCAAUUUCCACAAGUAACUCCUCUCUGGAAGUCAUGUGAUUACUGCACGCACUGUCAAUAUACCAGGCAUCACUCACAGCUUUCACUUCAGUUGAUUGCUUGACCAUGAAGAGAUUUCCAGGUUCCAGGUUCUCCCACCUUGUUUCUAAAAUUUCUUUGCUCUCCCACUUUGUCUGCAAAAUUCCCUUGCUGAGCAUUUUUGUUUUGAUUGCAGAUCCUAGCAAUAUGACCAGGUUUUCCACACUUGUGACAUUUAAUCUUCCCUUUUAGCCAACAUUCACCAUAGUGAAGUUUAUCACAGUAUUUGCAUGCCCCUCCAGUGUUGUUAGCUUCAUUUCUUACACUUGGAGUAAACCUGUUAGUCCACUGCUUCCCUUUGAACUUGAAGUUCUUCUGAUAUUUUGAUCCACCAGUAUUGGUAUGUUGAUUACCAAAUUUACUAUUCUUAGAUGAGAUAUAUAUCUAAGCUAGCAAAUGCACGUUCUGUGCUACUCUCUUCAUGUCUGAUUAAUCUUAGUUCAAACCCUUUCAAUAUGGCAACCACAUCUUGUGCAUCAAUUACAUCAAUAUCUUUAGUAUUUUCUAUAACAGAAGCAAUGCUAUCAUAUGUUUUGGGUAAACUGAUCAAUAACUUUUGCACAAUUCUCUGAUUACUAAGAUCUUCUCCAUAGCUUCGCAUCUGAUUUAUCAGAUCAAACAACCUAGCUAAAUAUGCAGCUAGAGAUUCACUUUCACUCAUACGGGUAUAUUCAAAAUCACGACGCAGACCUUGUAAUUUCACAGAUCGUACCUGUUUGUCCCUACACAUACUCUUGCUUCAGAAUAUCCCAAGCUUCUUUUGCAGUUUCCAAGGUUGCAAUGCGUGGAAAAAUUUGAUCCGAUACGGCUCCCUGAAUGAUUCCAAGAGCCCUUGCAUCCUUGACCAGAUUUUCACUCCGCAACUUCGUUUCCACCUCAGUGAGUUCUCCUUCCCCUUUCGCUGAAGUGGUAAAACCUUUUUCAACAAUAUUCCAUAACUCGUGAGAUCGGAAGAUUGUUUUCAUUCGAAUCUACCAGAAAUCGAAAUUUUCUCCGUUGAACACCGGAGCUCGAAGCUCCCCUCCACCAGAUCCAGCCAUGUUAGACUUAGAUCACACCUCUCUCUACUAUUUUCUUUGCAACGAUGUGUUGCAAACACUUGCUCACUAUCUCUCACAGAAUCGACGCCCAGAGAUUCAGACCCAACAAGGCUCUGAGGCCAUGUUAGAAUAAGAAGAAAAUGUAGUACAACAAUGGAGGAUAUGCUGCAAUGACUAGAGUGAGAGAGAGAGAAAGAAGAGAGCAGAGAAUAUGACACUGCAAUUCUUUUCACACGCACUGUUUGAUUGCUCACUUAGUGAAAGAGGAACAUCUCUCUACACUUAACAGUUACACUUCCAAACUUUUGGCAGUAUUCAAAAUUACAUCCAAGUAAUCCUAGCCAUCCAUCUUACACCCUAUGAGAUGAAGACACAUGUACACUCACUUACUUAAGAACUAAGAGACUUAGAUAAGAAAGCAUACAACCAAUUUAGCUAAUCAUCCUAGCAAUAUAAGCUAGAAAUACAACUACCACAUCAGAUCACAAUUUACACACUAACAAUAAUUACAAGUUUUACACAAGUGACCAUUUAUUACAAUGGUGGAAAGGUGUUAAAAGCUUUUGCAUGACGGUGUGAGUUCGAACCUCGUCGGUUGUUAAUCUACAAACCCCGUCGGUAGUUAAUCUAACUUCUAAUCUAAUAAAAUCUAUUUUUUGACCAAAAAAAAAUAAUUACAAGUUUUACUAAAAAUUUAGGGGUGUGAUAUCUACACACCCCUUUUUACUUCUCUCACAUCUUUUUGAUUUUCGACCGUCGGAUCGGAUGAAUUGAAGAAGAUCAACGGACAGAAAUUAAUAAGGAUGUGUGAGAAGUAAAAAAAGGUGUGUAGAUAGCACACCUCAAAAUUUACCGGAAGACUUGAUCACCCAUUUGUAUGCUGACAACGGUGACUAGAUUCACAACCUCUUUCCCACGUAAAUCACAUCAUCCAAUUUUAUUUUUCUUACAACAUAUCACGUAUCUGUCAUAUGUAAGACUUUUUUGGAAUAUGGAGCGUGAAAUUGCAGCGGAAGCAUCCUAGAUUUUUGAUCGAAUAUUGAGUUUGGUUUCAUGACAGACUUCCUGGAUCAAACACACCCUAAAAAAAUAUAUAAAAAACCAAUAAGGUCAUGGUGAUACGACAUCAUUUUAAGAGGAAAGGUAAAAACAAUCUAGUUUCUAUACUAGGAAGAUUCACUCGAACAAAUUCUUGGAAACUAUGACUCAAACAAAAUUCUAGGAAUUCAGUAUUUUUAACAAAUGAUAAACGUUUAAGAUAUAUUCUUUAUAAUAUUAGAGAAAUCGAACGGUUGAUCUAUAACUCGCAAAGUGGUUGUAGCUCAAGUAAUUUUACUCCCCAAUUUUACAUAAAACAUAAAAUAAAAACAAAUCCUAAUUUACAUGGUAAUUUUUUUUCAUAGCUAGGGACAACUUCGACUAUGGUAAUGCAAUUAAUAUACACUAGUUUUGGAUGGAGAAGUUUCAAGAUUGAGCAUGGGAUGGGGAGGGGCGAGAGACUUGGAUGGAGAGUGAGGUUUUAUGAGUUAAACAGUGAUGCAAGGAUGUAUUACUUAAAACUUUAGAGACCGUAUGUUGGGCUAUAUAUAAUUGUUUAACUCAUAAACGUUUUGAGUGUUUCUAACAUAUGCUUAUCAAAAGCCUUCUCGUUCUAUCAAACAAUACGAAAAUUUUCAAUUGAAUGCAAGACAUACUAUUUUAUAUAUCACAGUACUUCAUGGAUCAUCAUCAUCACAUAUCCUUAAUUCAAAGGUAAUAAAUGAGCAUCUAGUUUUAUUUUUAUUUUAUUUUAUAUAGGGACUACAGAAGCAAGCACCCUUUGUAAAUUAAACUCUAAAACUUCUCAAGUAUCUUGAAAGGUGCCAAAAGCCAUCAGCCAACUCCAGUUGAUGCAUA